This 439-nucleotide ribosomal RNA is filed under the name uncultured bacterium. Its description in RNAcentral is "partial 16S ribosomal RNA". It matches the Rfam family "Bacterial small subunit ribosomal RNA", at positions 339 to 795 of the family's 1533-position model. The record is from RNAcentral.
CUACGGGUUGCACCAGUGAGGAAUAUUGCACAAUGGGGGGAACCCUGAUGCGGCAACGCCGCGUGGAGGAUGACGCAUUUCGGUGUGUAAACUCCUUUUAUAUGUCAAGAAAAUGACGGUAGCAUAUGAAUAAGCACCGGCUAACUCCGUGCCAGCAGCCGCGGUAAUACGGAGGGUGCAAGCGUUACUCGGAAUCACUGGGCGUAAAGGACGCGUAGGCGGGUUGGAAAGUCAGGUGUGAAAUCCUACAGCUUAACUGUAGAACUGCACUUGAAACUUCUAAUCUAGAGUAUGGGAGGGGGAGAUGGAAUUAGUGGUGUAGGGGUAAAAUCCGUAGAUAUCACUAGGAAUACCUAAAGCGAAGGCGAUCUCCUGGAACAUUACUGACGCUAAGGCGUGAAAGCGUGGGGAGCAAACAGGAUUAGAUACCCCAGUAGUC